This 492-nucleotide ribosomal RNA is filed under the name uncultured bacterium. RNAcentral's name for it is "partial 16S ribosomal RNA". It matches the Rfam family "Bacterial small subunit ribosomal RNA", at positions 29 to 507 of the family's 1533-position model. The record is from RNAcentral.
AGUGAACGCUGGCGGUAGGCCUAACACAUGCAAGUCGAACGGAAGCACAGUAAGCGCUUGCUCUUACGGGUGGCGAGUGGCGGGCGGGUAAGGCAUACAUCGGAAUCUACUUUUUCGUGGGGGAUAACGUGGGGCAACUUACACUACUACCGCAUACGUUCUACGGGUGAAAGCAGUGGAUAUUCGGACCUUGCGCGUUUGAAUGAGCCGAUGUCGGAUUAGCUAGUUGGCGGGGUAAAGGCACACCAAGGCAACGAUCCGUAGCUGGUCUGAGAGGAUGAUCAGCCACACUGGAACUGAGACACGGUCCAGACUCCUACGGGAGGCAGCAGUGGGGAAUAUUGGACAAUGGGCGAAAGCCUGAUGCAGCCAUGCCGCGUGAGUGAAGAAGGCCUUCGGAUUGUAAAGCCCUUUUAUUGGGAAAGAAAAGCAGCAUAAUAAAACCCGGCUGUCCUGACGGUACCCAAAGAAUAAGCAACGGCUAACUUCGUG